GACGAACGCUGGCGGCGCGCUUAACACAUGCAAGUCGAGCGAAGCGGCGGACGGGUGAGUAACACGUGAGUAACCUGCCUUAGACAUUGGGAUAGCCUCGGGAAACCGGGAUUAAUACCAAAUGGUCUAAGAUGGACUCGCGUCCCAUUAGCUAGUUGGUGGGUAACGGCCCACCAAGGCGACGAUCCCUAGCUGGUCUGAGAGGAUGAUCAGCCACACUGGGACUGAGACACGGCCCAGACUCUACGGGAGGCAGCAGUGGGGAAUAUUGCACAAUGGGCGCAAGCCUGAUGCAGCCAUGCCGCGUGAACGAAGAAGGCUUUCGAGUCGUAAAGUUCUUUUAUAUGGGAAGCGGUACCAUAAGAAAAAGCCCCGGCUAACUACGUGCCAGCAGCCGCGGUAAUAC
This 406-nucleotide ribosomal RNA is filed under the name uncultured bacterium. RNAcentral's name for it is "partial 16S ribosomal RNA". It matches the Rfam family "Bacterial small subunit ribosomal RNA", at positions 28 to 526 of the family's 1533-position model. The record is from RNAcentral.